Molecule: ribosomal RNA, 346 nt
Filed under: Bacillus cereus
Lineage: Bacteria; Bacillati; Bacillota; Bacilli; Caryophanales; Bacillaceae
Description: bacterial SSU rRNA
Rfam family: Bacterial small subunit ribosomal RNA
Source: RNAcentral
ACCUUGACGGUACCUAACCAGAAAGCCACGGCUAACUACGUGCCAGCAGCCGCGGUAAUACGUAGGUGGCAAGCGUUAUCCGGAAUUAUUGGGCGUAAAGCGCUCGCAGGUGGUUUCUUAAGUCUGAUGUGAAAGCCCCCGGCUCAACCGUGGAGGGUCAUUGGAAACUGGGAGACUUGAGUGCAGAAGAGGAAAGUGGAAUUCCAUGUGUAGCGGUGAAAUGCGUAGAGAUAUGGAGGAACACCAGUGGCGAAGGCGACUUUCUGGUCUGUAACUGACACUGAGGCGCGAAAGCGUGGGGAGCAAACAGGAUUAGAUACCCUGGUAGUCCACGCCGUAAACGAUG